GACGGAGGGUGCUAGCGUUGUUCGGAAUGACUGGGCGUAAAGGGCGCGUAGGCGGCCGCUUGCGUCGGAUGUGAAAGCCCGGGGCUCAACCCCGGAACGGCAUCCGAUACGGGGCGGCUCGAGACCGAGAGAGGUGAGUGGAAUACCCAGUGUAGAGGUGAAAUUCGUAGAUAUUGGGUGGAACACCGGUGGCGAAAGCGGCUCACUGGCUCGGUUCUGACGCUGAGGCGCGAAAGCGUGGGGAGCGAACAGG
This 253-nucleotide ribosomal RNA is filed under the name uncultured bacterium. RNAcentral describes it as "partial 16S ribosomal RNA". It matches the Rfam family "Bacterial small subunit ribosomal RNA", at positions 524 to 776 of the family's 1533-position model. The record is from RNAcentral.